RNAcentral lists this ribosomal RNA (645 nucleotides) under bacterium SL4.42. RNAcentral describes it as "bacterial SSU rRNA". It matches the Rfam family "Bacterial small subunit ribosomal RNA", at positions 56 to 697 of the family's 1533-position model. The record is from RNAcentral.
UGCAGUCGAACGGCAGCGCGGGGGCAACCCUGGCGGCGAGUGGCGGACGGGUGAGGAAUGCAUAGGAAUCUGCCCGGUUGUGGGGGAUAACGUAGGGAAACUUACGCUAAUACCGCAUACGACCUUCGGGUGAAAGUGGGGGACCUUCGGGCCUCACGCGAUCGGAUGAGCCUAUGCCCGAUUAGCUAGUUGGCGGGGUAAGAGCCCACCAAGGCGACGAUCGGUAGCUGGUCUGAGAGGAUGAUCAGCCACACUGGGACUGAGACACGGCCCAGACUCCUACGGGAGGCAGCAGUGGGGAAUAUUGGACAAUGGGCGCAAGCCUGAUCCAGCAAUGCCGCGUGUGUGAAGAAGGCCUUCGGGUUGUAAAGCACUUUUGUUCGGGAAGAAAUCCGUGCGGUUAAUACCCUUACGGGAUGACGGUACCGAAAGAAUAAGCACCGGCUAACUUCGUGCCAGCAGCCGCGGUAAUACGAAGGGUGCAAGCGUUAAUCGGAAUUACUGGGCGUAAAGCGUGCGUAGGCGGUUUGUUAAGUCAGAUGUGAAAGCCCCGGGCUCAACCUGGGAACUGCAUUUGAUACUGGCAGGCUAGAGUACGGUAGAGGGUGGUGGAAUUCCCGGUGUAGCGGUGAAAUGCGUAGAGAU